This 301-nucleotide ribosomal RNA is filed under the name uncultured bacterium. RNAcentral describes it as "partial 16S ribosomal RNA". It matches the Rfam family "Bacterial small subunit ribosomal RNA", at positions 509 to 807 of the family's 1533-position model. The record is from RNAcentral.
CAGUAGCCGCGGGAAUACGGAGGGUGCAAGCGUUAAUCGGAAUUACUGGGCGUAAAGCGCACGCAGGCGGUCUGACAAGUCAGAUGUGAAAUCCCCGGGCUUAACCUGGGAACUGCAUUUGAAACUGUCAGGCUGGAGUCUUGUAGAGGGGGGUGGAAUUCCAGGUGUAGCGGUGAAAUGCGUAGAGAUCUGGAGGAAUACCGGUGGCGAAGGCGGCCCCCUGGACAAAGACUGACGCUCAGGUGCGAAAGCGUGGGGAGCAAACAGGAUUAGAUACCCGAGUAGUCCCUGUCUCUUAUAC